UCACCUCGAACGCGCUUCGGCGCGGUGGUCUUGAGGCGUCUGAGAGACUGCCUUCGUCCGGUUUGAGCGUUCGUUCGAUCGCUCGUUCUCUGCCGAUUGCAGUGCCUUUCAGUCCCUUGAAAUGCAGUGGCCGAACGUUGUGCCGGAGCAUGGCCUUGGGUCGGUUCGCCCCGGUUCUGCUCGCACGGCUGA
RNAcentral lists this non-coding RNA (192 nucleotides) under Leucetta potiguar. Lineage: Eukaryota; Metazoa; Porifera; Calcarea; Clathrinida; Leucettidae. The record is from RNAcentral.